Non-coding RNA from Arachis ipaensis, 229 nucleotides. The record is from RefSeq and is a predicted model, not a curated record. Lineage: Eukaryota; Viridiplantae; Streptophyta; Magnoliopsida; Fabales; Fabaceae.
UAUUGAUGAUAAUAAAGAACUGUUAGAGUUGCUGCUGUUGCUGCUAGUUUGAUUCGAGUCUGUUGCUGCUACAAACUAAAACAAAAGAGGGGUUUGCUGCACUUAAUUAUCGAAUUUUGGCUAAUCGAGAACUGAUGAGGUAAUCAACACUCAAUUGAUGGUUUCUCGGUAAAUUUUCCAAAAAUGACUCAAGCAUUUUUCUCCAUAUUUCAGCUGGAAACAAAGAGGU